This 600-nucleotide long non-coding RNA is filed under the name Malus domestica (apple). RNAcentral's name for it is "long non-coding RNA (MDOM_LNC012507)". Lineage: Eukaryota; Viridiplantae; Streptophyta; Magnoliopsida; Rosales; Rosaceae. The record is from RNAcentral.
UCAAAACACAUUUAAAGGUUGAGAAAAUUGAUAGUAUCAAUGUUUUUGGUUCUUAAUAAAAAAGGUAUUAAUUUUCAAAAAGGUAAUUGCAUCACACAACUUAAUUGAGUAGUUGCAUCAUGGAUUAAGUUAAAAAAAUACAUGGUUGAAUUUAUAAUUAAGCUUUAAUUAAGCACUCAAGCUUUGAAACCUCUGUAAGAGCUUUAAGUGCUGUUAAAUAUUUUGCUUUUCAAAGUUUUUUGGUUUCUAUACAUUGAUCUUAGCUCAAAUCAAAAGAACUCCCAAAGAUAAUUGCAAAACAACUGCAGUUAAAAAAAAAAAUCUGAAUCUGAAGGCACAACACAUAGCAAUCAGGAACAGUCUGUGAAAAACGUAUCAACUCAACACAACCAAAUUAUUAAGGUUUCUUUCAAACAAAUACAAUUUUGAAAUAAAAAAUUACACACAUGAAGACCAAUUUGUUAGGGCCGGCAUAAACACAACAGACAAUCAAAUUGGUACAGUUUGUAUCAAAGAAAUAUAAUUUCGAAGAAGAAAUUUACAACAACAACAACAACAACAACAAAGCCUUUUCCCACUAAGUGGGGUCGGCUAUAUGAA